This 172-nucleotide small RNA is filed under the name Chrysemys picta bellii (western painted turtle). Its description in RNAcentral is "TUC338 (ENSCPBG00000021439.1)". Lineage: Eukaryota; Metazoa; Chordata; Testudines; Emydidae. The record is from RNAcentral.
CUGACUGUCCUGGAGAAUAAAGUCGAUUAUUCAUAUAGGACACAUAGCAAUGGCAGCAGCAGUGCAAACUUCUCCAUGUUGCCCUGCUGUUGAGCCUCAACACUGACCUGGAGGAAACCUUCUAGUGAUGGGAGGAGUGUUCAAUGUCUUUGGCCUUUGUGCUGAGACGGAC